Molecule: non-coding RNA, 275 nt
Organism: Oryza nivara
Lineage: Eukaryota; Viridiplantae; Streptophyta; Magnoliopsida; Poales; Poaceae
Source: Rfam
GAUUUCAACUGAAUAAGUCAUCAACAACAAAGCUGUAUAACUCAUCAAGAUCUAUAACUUUUAUUUUGGUCAUUUCUUCAUCCGACAAAAUGAUAGUAACAUUGUUCACAAAGUUCACAUAUCUCUCAUUUGGUUUUAUAAACUAUAACACAGAUAUGUAAAAUUUGUGAAUAAUGUUAGUAACACUUUGUCGGAUGAAGAAAUGACAAGCAUAAAAUUUAUAGAUCUUGGUAAGUUAUACAACUUUGUUGUUGGUGACUUUUUUAGUUGAAAUC